GACGAACGCUGGCGGCGUGCCUAAUACAUGCAAGUAGAACGCACAGUUUAUACCGUAGCUUGCUACACCAUAGACUGUGAGUUGCGAACGGGUGAGUAACGCGUAGGUAACCUGCCUGGUAGCGGGGGAUAACUAUUGGAAACGAUAGCUAAUACCGCAUAAUAUUGAUUAUUGCAUGAUAAUUGAUUGAAAGAUGCUAUUGCAUCACUACCAGAUGGACCUGCGUUGUAUUAGCUAGUAGGUGAGGUAACGGCUCACCUAGGCGACGAUACAUAGCCGACCUGAGAGGGUGAUCGGCCACACUGGGACUGAGACACGGCCCAGACUCCUACGGGAGGCAGCAGUAGGGAAUCUUCGGCAAUGGACGAAAGUCUGACCGAGCAACGCCGCGUGAGUGAAGAAGGUUUUCGGAUCGUAAAGCUCUGUUGUAAGAGAUGAACGGGUGUGAGAGUGGAAAGUUCACACUGUGACGGUAGCUUACCAGAAAGGGACGGCUAACUACGUG
Molecule: ribosomal RNA, 505 nt
Filed under: uncultured bacterium
Lineage: Bacteria
Description: partial 16S ribosomal RNA
Rfam family: Bacterial small subunit ribosomal RNA
Source: RNAcentral